RNAcentral lists this ribosomal RNA (301 nucleotides) under uncultured bacterium. RNAcentral describes it as "partial 16S ribosomal RNA". It matches the Rfam family "Bacterial small subunit ribosomal RNA", at positions 509 to 807 of the family's 1533-position model. The record is from RNAcentral.
CAGCCGCCACGGUAAAACGUAGGUGGCAAGCGUUGUCCGGAAUUAUUGGGCGUAAAGGGCUCGCAGGCGGUUUCUUAAGUCUGAUGUGAAAGCCCCCGGCUCAACCGGGGAGGGUCAUUGGAAACUGGGAAACUUGAGUGCAGAAGAGGAGAGUGGAAUUCCACGUGUAGCGGUGAAAUGCGUAGAGAUGUGGAGGAACACCAGUGGCGAAGGCGACUCUCUGGUCUGUAACUGACGCUGAGGAGCGAAAGCGUGGGGAGCGAACAGGAUUAGAGACCCCAGUAGUCCCUGUCUCUUAUAC